RNAcentral lists this ribosomal RNA (253 nucleotides) under uncultured bacterium. RNAcentral describes it as "partial 16S ribosomal RNA". It matches the Rfam family "Bacterial small subunit ribosomal RNA", at positions 524 to 776 of the family's 1533-position model. The record is from RNAcentral.
UACGGGGGGGGCAAGCGUUGUUCGGAAUUACUGGGCGUAAAGGGCUCGUAGGCGGCCAACUAAGUCAGACGUGAAAUCCCUCGGCUUAACCGGGGAACUGCAUCUGAUACUGGAUGGCUUGAGUUCGGGAGAGGGAUGCGGAAUUCCCGGUGUAGCGGUGGAAUGCGUAGAGAUCGGGAAGAACAUCAGUGGCGAAGGCGGUCUGCUGGGCCGUUGCUGACGCUGAGGCGCGACAGCGUGGGGAGCAAACAGG